RNAcentral lists this ribosomal RNA (253 nucleotides) under uncultured bacterium. RNAcentral's name for it is "partial 16S ribosomal RNA". It matches the Rfam family "Bacterial small subunit ribosomal RNA", at positions 524 to 776 of the family's 1533-position model. The record is from RNAcentral.
UACAGAGGGGGCAAGCGUUGUUCGGAAUUACUGGGCGUAAAGGGCGCGUAGGCGGCCCGCUAAGUCGAACGUGAAAUCCCCAGGCUCAACCUGGGAACUGCGUCCGAUACUGGCAGGCUUGAAUCCGGGAGAGGGAUGUGGAAUUCCAGGUGUAGCGGUGAAAUGCGUAGAUAUCUGGAGGAACACCGGUGGCGAAGGCGGCCUGCUGGGCAGUGGCUGACGCUGAGGCGCGACAGCGUGGGGAGCAAACAGG